Triticum dicoccoides is the source of this 3338-nucleotide long non-coding RNA. RefSeq lists it as uncharacterized. The record is from RefSeq and is a predicted model, not a curated record. Lineage: Eukaryota; Viridiplantae; Streptophyta; Magnoliopsida; Poales; Poaceae. The transcript is spliced from 4 exons.
CGCGUGCGCGUCGCGCCAUUUGCGGGAGCGUGGGUAGCCAUGCCCUCGAAAGCACCUUGGUCCAAUCCCAUCGCCCCGCACGCCACAACCCCUCCCUCCUUCUUCGAUCUCUCUCCCUCCUCAGCCGCCACAAACCCUAGCCCCCUUUCCUACGAUCCAGCUGUCGCUACCCCUCCUCCAUCCGACCUCCGUCGUCAGCCGCCGCCGCCGCUACGGCUCCUCCGUCCACCGACUCCGUCCGUGCAGGUGGCCAGUUUCCUUCCGCCCCGACCUUCUCCACUGUCUCCCCAGUUCACCCCCACCCCUUGCUGCCCGAGGUGCCCAUCUUUCCAGGUCAUGAGGAAGCCGCGUGAGGAUGUCUCCACGGUAAUCGGGGAACCACCACGGCGUGCCGCCGGGGGAAGCCUUGGAUCCAGGGGGCCUCCCCGGGGGCGCAGAGGAGGGGGUGUGGAGGCGUGAGGCCAGAAGGAGUUUGGAAUCGCUGGAGGAGCACAGCCCGCACGGGGGCUGGUCAUCGCCAGAGCAGAGGGGAGGAGGUCGAUGCAGGGGACGCCAUGUAUGGUCGGGGCGCUGGAUCUGCCUUUCCCCAUGCCACCGCUGUCCUACGUCAACGAUGCCGCCAUGGCCUUCUCGCCACUGACCUCUUUCCACGAAUUUUUGCCUUCAACGCUAAGGGACGGUCUGUAGGCUAGCGGUAGUGGAAUGGAAUCCCCUUGUCCAGUACCAGCCGGUGAAGAUGGAAGGAAGCCACGGAACCUCAAGGCUUAGGAACUUUUUGGGAUAACUGAGUUGGUCAAUGUCAAAAAUGGAAAAGGAGAAGGAAAUCACCAUUCGAUUUAUGAUUGGGCGUAGGUUGGAGGCAUUGGUGUGAAGGUGUCGUGAGUUAUCUGCAAGGGCAUUGUUGUGACGUGCUCCUCCAUAUCUCCUGCGAGUUCUUGGUGUGGCGAUCAUGGCUCUAGAUAGCAGCGCUUCAAGGUCACUUAAGCCUGAAUGAGUUAUCAAGUCUACUGGAACCAUUCAUGUUUAGGCUUGUUCAUUGGUUUUCGAACAGACACUCCCUUAAGUAUGUUUGAUCACAAUUAAAAGGAGGAAGUCAGAUUAUUGCAAUGUGUGGCUGCACGUAAAGUUGUCAAGAUGAUCUGGUGCUUGCUCGAGCCGUUGAUUACUGCUGCUUUGCUAAGGUUCAAGGUAACCCCUUUACCAUGAUGACUACCAGAGUGACCUUCGAUGUGUAUAGAUGGUGAUGCAUAUGGGGACAGACAAGAACUAGCGAACUUAAUAUCAGAUUCCCUCAACUAUGAAUUCUUUAAUUAUUGAAGGCUUUCAUAUUCAUAUCAAUACAAGGCGGAAUAUGAUGCAGGUGAAUGCCUUUAUUUUGUUUCUUUAGGAUCUUCUCCUCUACUUAAUGAUAGAUGCAGUGUAUAGGGUCAUCGAGUCAGUUUGAAUGCUUUCGUGACAACCGGUAUAGCACUGAAUCAGGCAAGGUGUGAAUAAGUGUGCUUAAAUGCUUGCUUUGUUUAUGUGUUUACUGCUUACUGUGUUGUACAAGUUCCACUUUUGAAUCUGCCCUCUUUUAGGCAUGUGUAUUUCCCACAAAUAUGUUGGUAAAUGUGUGCACUACAUAGUUUUCAGGCCAACUGGAUUACGAGAGCCUCCUCCCUCUGCCCCUCCUCACUAAGGAGGUCAGAUUGAUCUAGCAUCUUUUCCCCUAAUUUAGGGGUCCUCCCAUGGCCCCUCCUCUACUCGGCUCUCCUCUGUCCUAUUUCUCCUCUAUCAAAAAUACGAAAACUACCACGAGAAAUAAGUGCUGCUUGCUGCUCUUCACUGCUAAAUAUCACGAUGAAGUAUAUCAAGUGACAUCGUCCCAGAAGAAGAGAUGAGCAGUCAAUAUACAAAGAAAAAAAUCAGGGCCAAUAUUUGCAUGAAUACUAAUUCUGGCAACAUGUUAAUGAUUCAUAAAUAAUCUCCCGUUUCCUCUAACCUAUGUAUGUCUUUCUAUAUUAAUUCAUAAAAAUGAAUCAGCAUAGUUCAUAUUUGAUUUCAAGAUAAAGAAAUUCGAAAGAUGUAUAAGAGGUGAAUCAAAUGACAUUAUUUCAAAGUUGUAUAACAUAUAUCAUCACUACUAGAAAACAUUUUGUAGGAGGCUACAUUUAAUCUUCUGUACUAAAUUCUUCAUUGCCUUCCCAUGAUGGUUGGAGAGGGCAGGCCUGGCGCAGUGGUGAAGUCCUCCCCACUUGUGCCAAGAGGUCCUGGGUUCGAACCAGCCUCUCUGCAUUGCACUUCGCAGGGGUAAGACUAGGUUCCUAUAAUCCCUCCCCAGACCCCACCUUGUGUGGGAGCUUCUAUGCACUGGGUCUGUCCUUCCCAUGAUGGUUGGAGUACAAUUCUCACAGGAGGUCCCGUUAAUGUUAUAUUUAGAGGGUGUCAAGUUUAGACCAUCGUGCCUACGGUAACAUUUCAUAAAAUCCACGCUAAUCUUAUGUGGGGCUCAAGUCGGAUAUCUAGGGUAGUUCUAUUAAUUCCUGAAUGGUUGCUCGGGUACCAAUGAAUUUAUUUAUUUAUUUUUCUUCUUCUAGCUGUUGUCAAAUACUUAAACAUUUCCCUUUCAUACUAUUUUAGAUUUAAAAUGAGAGUUGCCAUUCUCCAACAAGUAUAGUCGUGGGUUAGUUGUUGACAGCUCAAGUGUAGUGUACAUCAGUUACACAUGAAUAGAUUGCUUUUUAGUGUAUUGCACCAUUUAAAAGGAAAACUUAUUACACUAAUGUCAUUCUCCAGUAAGCAUAGUUGGAUCCAACCUGAUGUUGUUAAAUGCUCAAGUACUUUCCUUUCAUAUUAUCAAUUACACCUGACAGGUUGCUUAAGAAGGUGCAGUACACUACAUCGCUACACUCUAUAGUAAUGGAUUGCUGGAGAAGGGUGCAGUACACUGAUGCCAUACUGUGUUACACUGGUGCCAUUUCCAAGCUAGUUCAAAGCCAUUAUUAUUCCUCAGAUGGCGCAAUGGAAUAUGGCCAUUUAUAUUUCUUAUUUGUUAACAGUGUUGUGUACUGUAGAUGAAUUAUUGAUUAAACCUGAAUGUCGCUGACUCGACAGGACAGUGGUAGCGACAUGUUUAACACCAGGUGUUGCAGCUACUCUCUGAUUACAAAGGAUGUUUAGAAUCAGAACAAAACUAGGUAUUGUGUCUUGUGGCAUGCUGAGACUUUCAAGAAAGAGGUCCUUAUCAGAGAAGCAUUCUCUUCUUACAACUGAUGUAUGAUAUGAUUCAGUCCAAUCGUUAUUUCUCUGGGGCAUCGACAAUGUAAGCAUGUUCGAUUCAUUACCAUAUGUUUUCCUCU